This 73-nucleotide transfer RNA is filed under the name Phytophthora infestans T30-4. It matches the Rfam family "tRNA". Rfam says of the family: Transfer RNA (tRNA) molecules are approximately 80 nucleotides in length. Their secondary structure includes four short double-helical elements and three loops (D, anti-codon, and T loops). Further hydrogen bonds mediate the characteristic L-shaped molecular structure. tRNAs have two regions of fundamental functional importance: the anti-codon, which is responsible for specific mRNA codon recognition, and the 3' end, to which the tRNAs corresponding amino acid is attached (by aminoacyl-tRNA synthetases). tRNAs cope with the degeneracy of the genetic code in two manners: having more than one tRNA (with a specific anti-codon) for a particular amino acid; and 'wobble' base-pairing, i.e. permitting non-standard base-pairing at the 3rd anti-codon position. Lineage: Eukaryota; Oomycota; Peronosporomycetes; Peronosporales; Peronosporaceae. The record is from Rfam by way of RNAcentral.
ACCCGUCUAACUCAGUCGGUAGAGCGCUGGCCUUUUAAGCCAGUGGUCGUGGGUUCGAUUUCCACGGGGGGUG